UUGUUGUUACCGAGAGAGGCUGUAUUUACAUGUUCUCAGUUUCAUCCUUAGAAAGAUACUGGUCCAAAAUCUAGAGCCCACGUUCAGAUCAUCUCAGCUCCUACCGCCUUUGUGCUGAUUAAUUGGCCUUGCAAGUAGGUGGGGUCAUGUCCCAGGACAUGCUUUUGAUAGACACGUGUGGGUCAGGAGAGGUCAGCCACUACUGGACAUGAUGUGUGGUAACUGGAUGGUUUGCACAAAUAAAAACAAAAACAAAAAAACCCAGUAAGUGUUCUUCAACAUAGCGUGCAUUCUU
Molecule: long non-coding RNA, 295 nt
Filed under: Bos taurus (domestic cattle)
Lineage: Eukaryota; Metazoa; Chordata; Mammalia; Artiodactyla; Bovidae
Description: long non-coding RNA NONBTAT004827
Source: RNAcentral